This 1426-nucleotide ribosomal RNA is filed under the name metagenome. Its description in RNAcentral is "bacterial LSU rRNA". It matches the Rfam family "Bacterial large subunit ribosomal RNA", at positions 1518 to 2925 of the family's 2925-position model. The record is from RNAcentral.
UGGUAGGCGGUGAUCUUAGGCAAAUCCGGGAUCACUACGCCGAGCACCGAGACGAGUCCUAUGAGGACGAAGUGACUGACACCACGCUUCCAGGAAAAGCCACUAAGCUUCAGCUUAAGAAAAACCGUACCGCAAACCGACACAGGUAGGCAGGGUGAGAAUCCCAAGGCGCUUGAGAGAACUCGGGUGAAGGAACUAGGCAAAAUGGCACCGUAACUUCGGGAGAAGGUGCGCCCUUUGGUGUGGUCACGUGCGUGACUGAGCAUCGAAGGGUCGCAGUAACCUGGCCGCUGCGACUGUUUAUCAAAAACACAGCACUCUGCAGACACGAAAGUGGACGUAUAGGGUGUGACGCCUGCCCGGUGCUGGAAGGUUAAUUGAUGGGGUCAGCCGCAAGGCGAAGCUCUUGAUCGAAGCCCCAGUAAACGGCGGCCGUAACGAUAACGGUCCUAAGGUAGCGAAAUUCCUUGUCGGGUAAGUUCCGACCUGCACGAAUGGCGUAACGACAGCGGCGCUGUCUCCACCCGAGACUCAGUGAAAUUGAAAUCGCUGUGAAGAUGCAGCGUUCCCGCGGCAAGACGGAAAGACCCCGUGAACCUUUACUAUAGCUUUACACUGAACGUUGAGUUCUUCUGUGUAGGAUAGGUGGGAGGCUAUGAAACCAGGACGCUAGUUCUGGUGGAGCCAUCCUUGAAAUACCACCCUGAAGUGCUUGACGUUCUAACCUAGGCCCGUAAUCCGGGUCAGGGACCGUGUAUGGUGGGUAGUUUGACUGGGGCGGUCUCCUCCCAAAGAGUAACGGAGGAGCACGAAGGUACGCUCAGCGCGGUUGGACAUCGCGCACUGUGUGCAAAGGCAUAAGCGUGCUUGACUGCGAGAUCGACGGAUCAAGCAGGUACGAAAGUAGGUCUUAGUGAUCCGGUGGUUCUGUAUGGAAGGGCCAUCGCUCAACGGAUAAAAGGUACUCCGGGGAUAACAGGCUGAUACCGCCCAAGAGUUCAUAUCGACGGCGGUGUUUGGCACCUCGAUGUCGGCUCAUCACAUCCUGGGGCUGUAGCCGGUCCCAAGGGUAUGGCUGUUCGCCAUUUAAAGUGGUACGCGAGCUGGGUUCAGAACGUCGUGAGACAGUUCGGUCCCUAUCUGUCGUGGGCGUUGGAGAUUUGAGGGGGGCUGCUCCUAGUACGAGAGGACCGGGGUGGACGUUCCGCUGGUGUUCGGGUUGUCAUGCCCAUGGCAUUGCCCGGUAGCUACGAACGGAAGUGAUAACCGCUGAAAGCAUCUAAGCGGGAAGCACGCCCCAAGAUGAGAUCUCCCGAGAGCUUGACUCUCCUAAAGGCACCAUCAAGACUAGGUGGUUGAUAGGUCAGGUGUGGAAGCGCAGCAAUGCGUUGAGCUAACUGAUACUAAUGAGCCGUGAGGCUUGACC